GACGGAGGAUGCAAGCGUUAUCCGGAAUGAUUGGGCGUAAAGCGUCCGCAGGUGGCAGUUCAAGUCUGCUGUCAAAGACCGGGGCUUAACUUCGGAAAGGCAGAGGAAACUGAACAGCUAGAGUAUGGUAGGGGCAGAGGGAAUUCCUGGUGUAGCGGUGAAAUGCGUAGAGAUCAGGAAGAACAUCGGUGGCGAAGGCGCUCUGCUGGACCAUAACUGACACUCAGGGACGAAAGCUAGGGGAGCGAAUGGG
Molecule: ribosomal RNA, 253 nt
Filed under: uncultured bacterium
Lineage: Bacteria
Description: partial 16S ribosomal RNA
Rfam family: Bacterial small subunit ribosomal RNA
Source: RNAcentral